This is a non-coding RNA of Theobroma umbraticum, 3270 nucleotides long. Lineage: Eukaryota; Viridiplantae; Streptophyta; Magnoliopsida; Malvales; Malvaceae. The record is from RefSeq and is a predicted model, not a curated record.
UCAAGCUUCUUGAUUUAAAUUAUAUCUUAUUGGAGUAUUUUUGUGAUAAAGAUAUUAUAUUUUGUUUGCCAUGCUACCUUUUUGGUAAGAACAUUGCUUGAUUGAGUCAGCAACAAUUUUAUGAUAAAUUUCCCAGCCUCCUACAUUGACACCCAAUAAAUGACCCUUGUACGCAAGAAAGAUAAUUUUCUAUCUGCACAAACCAGGAACACCCAAUAUUUUUCAGUCAAAAAAGAAAACUUAGAAACAGAUUCAUCAAUGCCUAAUGUCAGUAUGUACCAAGAAGUCCAUUCGUGCUCCUCCGAAUGGCCUCAAACUAAUUUAAAUCCUCCUUUGUUAGGAAGACGUGCUAUACAAUUACGGUUAUAACCUCCAAAGCCUAGAUCAGGAACCUCAACAUCAUCCAUGACGAUGGGGUUUGCAACAUAGAGAACCUUAACCCUUGCAUAACAAAAUACUGACAUACCUUCACAACUACUGUCAAGUAAUCCUGGAUAUAUAACUAUGGUUGAAGUUAGUAAUUUCAAAGUCCCCAUUUUUCUUUAAACUCAAGAAAGCGAGCUCAACUGUAUUUGUUCUGAAGAAAGAGGCCACGUUUUGACCUCUACAAGUGUGUCUCAACGGGGGUUGCAAAUGAUCUGUGCCCACGACCACGGUCUCUACCGAUGACUCUUUCUUCUCUGGCUGCUAGCAGGGCUCCUCGUCGAACAACAAGAUAAUCACCGUCCACUAUUAGAUUUCGUAUCCGACGAAACGCUCGAAGAGCGGCGUUAGUUGCUUCGAGUAUGACAUCUCUACACUGAGGGUGUAGAGAUAGCUAGAUAGGUGAUGUGAGGUCGAGCGUAUUCAGCGCUGCAGGAUUUAAGGCCUUCAUUUCAUCGAAAAAAACAUAAACGGUUUUUUCAAGAGACAAUAUACGGCCUUUCUGAGUAAAAGCGUUUUGGCGUUUGCUUGACAACGGAUAGAUGUACUUAGAUGAUAAGACCUCCUCAGACAGACGCUCCUCUGUGCAUUGGCAGCCGCCGAAUAUAAACCACAGAAGGAACAACCACAGGCCGUACGGACCGCACCGGAAAUCGAAGCCGUGGGCUGGGGAUUAUCAAUAAUAUUAUCUGUUUCAUUGACGAGGUAUGGCUUCCGUCCGGUUACUGGUUAGACAAGUUUUCUUUUAAAAAUAUGAAAGGCCGUGAGCUAGGGCUUAUGCAUUUUCAAACUGGUGUUAUUAUAAGCAAAAACAUAAAUAAAACUACUUUAAAACUUACCUCCAAUUAAUCUAUAUAAAGUACCUUAAAAGGUUUUUUUUUUCUUUUAAAUAAUACUACAAGACAUGCCGAGCCCAAUUUUUUUCUGUUCUCCACGUCCCCUGCUGUAGUUCUAAGUUUGUAGAAUUUUUUUCCACCAAAACUAAGCAACUGUCAAAAAGACUUGAAAGAGUAAAGCAAGGAAGCAUGGAAAAGUUAUCCAAACAAAACUUCCUUAAAAUAUAAUCCACUCUCCUCAACCCCUGAAUCUAAUGCUAAGAAGAGAAGUUGAAGAACAUUGGAACAUAGAAAUGGACCGCAAGUAGAACAUAGAGAAGUUCAAGGGCCCACCAAGGCUACUAAAAUAUUUUAGUGAAGUUCAGAUUAAUCUUUGCAUUACUUUGGGGAUUGUUUCUUUCUUCAAACUUUGCUCGAAACAUGAGGAUAUCUGAUAAUUGUUUGACAUUUGCAGUCACAAUUCUUAUCAUCUGGUUUGCAUAGUGAGGCACUGUUGGUUUUUCCAAUAACCUUGGCCGUUAGUUCUUAUGACAGGGGGAGGAAUUUUCUUUAUGAAUGUCUCUGAACUGUUCUAUUCUUCAGAUGAAAAGAAUCAUGAUGAACAUAGUGAAAUUUCAUGGGUUAAGGUCCAUGUUGAGCAAAGUGGUGUCUAUAGGGUAGAAUCCGGAGAUGAACGUGCAGCUCGACUGAGGAAAACCAUAGAGAAUAAUUACUUUCCAGCAACAGAAGUCAAGGCUUGCAAUCAGUACCCUGAGAGAGUUAUUUAGAUGCGCUCUUAAGUGAAGAGGUCUUUAUGGCAAUAUUGGCUGCUUUUGACCAUGGCAAAACCCACAACGAAGCAAUGGAGCACUUUCAGACAUUCUUGGAUGGCAGAAACACUCUAAUUCUUUCAGCAGACAGAAAAAGGUUUUAAAACAGAAUCUUGUAAGGUCCACAUACGUUGCUUAUUCUAUGAAUCUUUGCAAAAUGUAUGAUACCUAAAAGGCCUGGUUGCUCGACAGGCUGCUUAUGUCGCUGUUAUGAGCAAUGCUAACACAACAAAUAGGGAUGGUUUUGAGUCCCUAGUGAAGGCUUGUAUAGAGCAACUUAUGCAGUUCACAAGAAGGAACAUGUUUUAUGUAAAAUAGUUUCUUCUCCAGGCCCGGAUAUAGUUGAAGAGGUUCUGAACAUUUUAAUAUCUGAUGAGGUAUUAUUGAGCUAUGCUUAGUCUCCUUUCACACCACAGUUUGCUAUGGUUUCUGUCACCUCGAAACUCAUUCAGUUUCGAGAUCAAGAUAUUAUCUGUGGACUUGCUGGAAUUAGCUUGGAAGGCUCUGAAAUAGCCUGGGGGUGGUUGAAGGGAUGCAGUUUCUGCAAAAUUGGCUAGGCCAUCGAUGCACUUUACCUUGAGCCUCAAUUACUUGUAGUAUGAGAUUUUUGGGAAGAAUUUCCAGGGAUGUUAAUGAGCUUGGGAGUGAUCAAACAUCUCUUACAAUGUUUGGUGCCUCUUUAAAUUUACAAUUUACCGAGUAAUGCAUGCAGGAGAACUGGAAUCUUAUCAUAGACAACUAUGGUGAUGGUAGUCUACUCAGAAGUUUUGUCAAAAAGCAAUUAAACCUAAUACAACAGCCAUGAUAUAUUUGCAUGUAUGGAUAGGAAUUAUUAACUUCCAAGAUACCAAGCCAUGAUGAUAAGCAGCCAGCUUGUUGCUUCUAUGAUAUCCAGUCUCUAAGACAAAAGCUACUCAUAGUAUUCUGCUAAAUGCAAUUAUGUCAGAGCCAGAAAAGAUUAUGAUAUAUCUACUUAUUUGAGUGGACUGAUUUGGUUAAACUCAUGUGGGCAGUUUUGCGGCAAUGAGAAAGGUGAUGAGAUAAGAAGAAUGUUUGGUGAACCAUAUGAGACUUUCUUUUGAAGUGACCUUGGAAGGGAUAUUAACUUCAUGUCAUGAUCUAAAUUCCUUAAUUUUAUGACCAUGACUUAUAUCUGCAUUGUAUGCAUUCAUUAAAAGGAAAAAGUUAGUGUAAUGACAGCU